Molecule: ribosomal RNA, 321 nt
Filed under: uncultured eukaryote
Lineage: Eukaryota
Description: partial 18S ribosomal RNA
Rfam family: Eukaryotic small subunit ribosomal RNA
Source: RNAcentral
CCCUUAGAUGUCCUGGGCUGCACGCGCGCUACACUGAUGUGUCCAGUAAGCACCUAACCUCUUCCGAAAGGAACGGGUAACCUUUGCAAAGCACAUCGUGAUGGGGAUAGAUUAUUGCAAUUAUUAGUCUUGAACGAGGAAUUCCUAGUAAGCACAAGUCAUUAGCUUGUGCUGAAUACGUCCCUGCCCUUUGUACACACCGCCCGUCGCUCCUACCGAUUGAGUGCUCCGGUGAACAAUUUGGACUGCUUUGAUUCGAUUAGAAUUUGAAGCGGAAAGUUUAGUGAACCUUAUAACUUAGAGGAAGGAGAAGUCGUAACA